CUUCAUGGUUGAUGGUAUAAAUGGUGCAGCUUCUCAAGUUCAGAGUUGGCAUUUUGUAGAUGAUGACCUCAGCAAUGGUAUUCCAGACUCCAUGCAUUCUAGUGACCAUAAAUCUGAAUCUCUCGUGAAUCAAGCAGAGGGUUUUCCUUCUUCCAAGGAUGAAAACAUGAGCCACAUUCAAUUGAAAGAACUUCAAGAAGGCAAUCAUACAAAACUAAGUUUGUUGGAUCUUGGGAUAGUUGAUGGUGCACACUACAGGAAAACUCUUUCUGCUAUUUUUGGAAGUUCAAAUCGGUUGACUGAGAACCCGUGUUUCCUUAGUGUUGAGCACAAAUCCAGUUUUGUAAGUUGGAAGAAAGGAGGAAUGGUUAAGAGGCAUUGGCCAGGG
This 388-nucleotide long non-coding RNA is filed under the name Citrus sinensis (sweet orange). RNAcentral describes it as "long non-coding RNA (CSIN_LNC004102)". The record is from RNAcentral. Lineage: Eukaryota; Viridiplantae; Streptophyta; Magnoliopsida; Sapindales; Rutaceae.